CACGUAGUUAGCCGUGGCUUGCUCCUUAGCUACCGUCAUUCUUCUUCACUAAGAACAGAAGUUUACAAUCCGAAAACCGUCUUCCUUCACGCGGCGUUGCUGCAUCAGGGUUUCCCCCAUUGUGCAAUAUUCCCCACUGCUGCCUCCCGUAGGAGUCUGGGCCGUGUCUCAGUCCCAAUGUGGCCGUUCAACCUCUCAGUCCGGCUAUGGAUCGUUGACUUGGUAGGCCGUUACCCCACCAACUAUCUAAUCCAACGCGAGCCCAUCCUUCGGCACCUCAGUUUUGGUAUUUCUAUCAUGCGGUAAAAAUACGUUAUGCGGUAUUACUGUCCGUUUCCAGACACUAUCCCCCUCCGAAGGGCAGGUUGCUCACGCGUUACUCACCCGUCCGCCACUCAGUCAUAUCAUUCUUCAUUCCGAAGAAAUCUGAAUUCAAGCUUCGUUCGACUUGCAUGUGUUAGGCACGCCGCCAGCGUUCGUCCUGAGCCAGGACAACACU
RNAcentral lists this ribosomal RNA (499 nucleotides) under uncultured Eubacteriales bacterium. RNAcentral's name for it is "uncultured Clostridiales bacterium partial 16S ribosomal RNA". Lineage: Bacteria; Bacillati; Bacillota; Clostridia; Eubacteriales. The record is from RNAcentral.